AAGUUAAUGCCUGAGUGGUUAAAGGAAUGGACUGAAAAUCCAUUGAUAAUAUAUCUACCUCAGACCAAAUCUGAUUUAACUUA
RNAcentral lists this transfer RNA (83 nucleotides) under Plasmodium falciparum RAJ116. It matches the Rfam family "tRNA". Rfam says of the family: Transfer RNA (tRNA) molecules are approximately 80 nucleotides in length. Their secondary structure includes four short double-helical elements and three loops (D, anti-codon, and T loops). The record is from Rfam by way of RNAcentral. Lineage: Eukaryota; Apicomplexa; Aconoidasida; Haemosporida; Plasmodiidae.